Molecule: long non-coding RNA, 1132 nt
Filed under: Gopherus agassizii (Agassiz's desert tortoise)
Lineage: Eukaryota; Metazoa; Chordata; Testudines; Testudinidae
Description: lncRNA (ENSGAGG00000018827.1)
Source: RNAcentral
AUGCCUGCGCAGUUCUUUCUCUUCCAGGCAGCACUGCUGCUGCUUCUUGCCGUACCCCUUCUCCUGCAUCCCCUGUGCAAUCUGUUCAUAGAUGUCAACAUUCCUAUGGUUGGUUUGGAGCUGUGCCUCCACAACCUCUUCUCCCCACAGGCCCAGAAGAUCCCAUAUCUGCUGUCUACUCCAGGCCGGAGUGCGUCUGGAGCAUGUAACUGUCGUGGUGCACAACAACAAUGGAGAGCUGCUAAGUGUGCUCACCAAGCUCAGCAAUCAGAAAAAGAGACUCCCUGAGUCACUGCAGCUUCUCUCUCCUCCAAGACACCUUGAAUGCUGGCUGGAUGGACUGCUUUAGCCAAGGGAGGUGCUCUGUAUUUCUGGACCCUUGCAUGUCAUUGGUCUGAGGGGAUCUCCAUGCCCUUAAAGAGUAGGUGGCUUUUCUGCUGAGCCAUCGGAGAAACCCAUUUAUACCUCCUCCCUGAGCCAGCUGCCUGUGGCUUGCCAGUUGAUCCUGUCCUUCCACCAGCGCUGUCUGUUUUUCUCCUUGGGACUUAGGUGAGCCCUUUGCAUGUCUCUUACUGACCCAGCUUGCUGUUACAGGAGUCGGGGAAUGGAACUUGCUUUUUGAGUUUGAGAUAAGUGCUGAUGUGUCUGGACUCUCGCUGGUACAGCUGAGGGGGGAAAGCUUUAAAGCUCCAAUUAACCUGACACCCCAUCUCCAGUAAGUCAGUCAGCCUGAGCUUUCUCAGGUAUGUCUGUGGUAUUUAUUGAUCACAUCUGAAAUGGUCCCUCCUGUUUACUGCAGGUAUGCCCUCAAUAUUUGAUUCGCUCAGUCCCCCUGUCAAUUGCUUUUACUCACGUAACCAGGUUAAAGGAAAAGCAAAGACCCACAAUGCUUAAAUCUGACCUUGGAUCUAGUUCCCAAGGCUAUAGGGGCCAAAUCAUCAGGUGGUAUAAAUCAGCAUAACUCCAUCAGCUACUCUGGUUUACCCCAGUUGAUGAGCUGGUGCUAGGGGUUUCUUCCACGCUGAACAGAUCUGCAGAGUAUGGAACCCUCUAGCUUGGUCUGCCAGUAGAGAGUCCUGAUUUGCUGUUGAUUUUUGCAUGCUAUGUGCUAUACAGGCAAGAUAAGGCUGCA